Molecule: transfer RNA, 87 nt
Filed under: Pontivivens marinum
Lineage: Bacteria; Pseudomonadati; Pseudomonadota; Alphaproteobacteria; Rhodobacterales; Paracoccaceae
Description: Monaibacterium marinum tRNA_Ser_TGA
Rfam family: tRNA
About the family: Transfer RNA (tRNA) molecules are approximately 80 nucleotides in length. Their secondary structure includes four short double-helical elements and three loops (D, anti-codon, and T loops). Further hydrogen bonds mediate the characteristic L-shaped molecular structure. tRNAs have two regions of fundamental functional importance: the anti-codon, which is responsible for specific mRNA codon recognition, and the 3' end, to which the tRNAs corresponding amino acid is attached (by aminoacyl-tRNA synthetases). tRNAs cope with the degeneracy of the genetic code in two manners: having more than one tRNA (with a specific anti-codon) for a particular amino acid; and 'wobble' base-pairing, i.e. permitting non-standard base-pairing at the 3rd anti-codon position.
Source: RNAcentral
GGAGGUGUGGCCGAGCGGUUUAAGGCACCGGUCUUGAAAACCGGCGUGCGUGAGAGCGUACCGUGGGUUCGAAUCCCACCGCCUCCG